AUGGCUGUCGUCAGCUCGUGUCGUGAGAUGUUGGGUUAAGUCCCGCAACGAGCGCAACCCUCGUCUUAUGUUGCCAGCACGUAAUGGUGGGGACUCAUAAGAGACUGCCGGGGUCAACUCGGAGGAAGGUGGGGAUGACGUCAAGUCAUCAUGCCCCUUAUGUCUAGGGCUACACACGUGCUACAUUGGCCGGUACAAAGGGCUGCAAACCCGCGAGGGGGAGCGAAUCCCAAAAAGCCGGUCCCGGUUCGGAUUGGAGGCUGAAACUCGCCUCCAUGAAGUCGGAGUUGCUAGUAAUCGCGAAUCAGCAACGUCGCGGUGAAUACGUUCCCGGGCCUUGUACACACCGCCCGUCACACCACGAAAGUCGGCAAUACCCGAAGCCGGUGGCCUAACCCGCAAGGGAGGGAGCCGUCGAAGGUAGGGUUGAUGAUUGGGGUGAAGUCGUAACAAGGUAGCCGUAGCGGAAGCUGCGGCUGGAUCACCUCCUUUCUAGGGAUACCGGAGCACUAAAUCCGGUAGGCGCUCGGCCAGUCUCGAUGGUCUCACGGUGUUAAAGCCGUGCAGCCGUCCUGUUACCGAGUUCGCCUAGAAGUAUGUCGACCUCGUACGAACGAACGCUGUUGAGUUUUGAGAGACCGGUGGCAUUUCUGCGCCGGUAGCUCGUGUUGGGCGGACCCGUCCGCGCGCACCUUGAAAACUCCAUAGCAGUAACUAGCGAGUUCUUCACGAUCAAGAGACUAAGAGCACACGGUGGAUGCCUUGGCGCCAAGAGCCGAAGAAGGACGUGGGCGGCUGCGAUAAGCUCGGGUGAGGUGCUGACCAACCUUUGACCCCGAGAUUUCCGAAUGGGGAAACCCGG
This 862-nucleotide small RNA is filed under the name uncultured Rubrobacteria bacterium. Its description in RNAcentral is "bacterial SSU rRNA". The stretch from base 1 to 492 matches the Rfam family "Bacterial small subunit ribosomal RNA", at positions 1045 to 1533 of the family's 1533-position model. Lineage: Bacteria; Bacillati; Actinomycetota; Rubrobacteria. The record is from RNAcentral.